UACAGAGGGUGCGAGCGUUAAUCGGAAUUACUGGGCGUAAAGCGUGCGUAGACGGUAGCGUAAGUCAGAUGUGAAAGCCCCGGGCUCAACCUGGGAACUGCAUUUGAGACUGCUCUGCUCGGGUGCGGAAGAGGGAAGCGGAAUUUCCGGUGUAGCGGUGAAAUGCGUAGAUAUCGGGAGGAACACCUGUGGCGAAAGCGGCUCACUGGACCACAACUGACGCUGAGGCGCGAAAGCUAGGGGAGCAAACGGG
This 253-nucleotide ribosomal RNA is filed under the name uncultured bacterium. RNAcentral's name for it is "partial 16S ribosomal RNA". It matches the Rfam family "Bacterial small subunit ribosomal RNA", at positions 524 to 776 of the family's 1533-position model. The record is from RNAcentral.